Molecule: long non-coding RNA, 1489 nt
Filed under: Oryctolagus cuniculus (rabbit)
Lineage: Eukaryota; Metazoa; Chordata; Mammalia; Lagomorpha; Leporidae
Description: lncRNA (ENSOCUG00000037150.1)
Source: RNAcentral
GGUGGGGAAGGUUGGGUUUGCUCUGGCUUACAGAAAGCCCAAGGAUUGUGGAAAGAGACUGAGAAGUGGGCAAAUAUGUUUGCCUGAAAAUGAAAAAUCUUUUUUCUAGAAUGGCAAAUAUUUAUGUUCCGUCGAGAGCAAAUCGAUGUCGCUCUUCUCUGAAGUCACGCUGCCUGCAUGAGAACAGCGCCCAGCCCAGAAGACAGGACGACUGCUGAAUCCGUGGCUCAGGGGGCAGACUGCAGCCCCAGCUGCUCCCCGGCCACCCGCCGCUCCGCCCGGCCCUGCUGUGGAGGCGCGCUCUGUUCUCAGGCCGCAGGCAGAAACGGUAAUCCGGGCAGGCUGCCUGUUCAGCCGCUCCCCAACUGCGCCCGCCCCAUACAUGGGGAGGGAGGAUUUCCGGUGAAACACCCAGGCGUGCCAGCCGCUGCAGCCCUGGGCGCUUGUGUGCGCCUCUCCCUUCCCCUGCCGGGGCGCUGGGCUUCGUAACCACAUCUCCGCUCCUCCGAGGGAACCACAAUAACUCGCCUGCCCCUAACGCUGUGCAGAAUCGCUUUACGACACGAGGAUGCAUUUUCUCCCAAGUUAUUAAGGCCCGAUUACAUCACGGCUUCUUCCAGGGAAUGCUAAGUACCUGAGGGACAACGCUGCAGUCACCCCCUCUCGCCUCUGCAAAUCACUACACAGAGGGCGCCUUGAUGCUGCACCCGGAGCACCCCCCUCCCCCGGCCCGGAGCCCUCGCUGGGAUGAGGGGGAACCGGGGCUGCGAAGACAAAUCCUCUCUCUCCCAUGAGCUCAGCAUGGCCUCUCUGCACAUCCCAGACCCGUGCCCGGCUCUCGCUGGAGAAGCAGCCGCCCAGCUGAGUGGUCAGCGCGGGAGCAGGACUCGGGUUCUGAACGCUGCCCCGGCCUCCACGGGGACGCAUCCGGCCAGGGCAGCCUGUGUGCAACCACACGGAUGGCGCUCACUGCUCAGCAUUUUCUGCGGGAUUUGGGGCCACUACGGGCGCUGCUGAUGGCUCCCUACAACCCCGUGAGACAGACCUGGCUUGGCUUUACAGGGGCUCGAAGUUCAGAAGCCAGUGGGAGUGAAAGGCCGAACAGCUGGCAGGGUGGCUCCCAGGGUUCAGACCAGGUGUCCCUAUCCAGAACCCGUGACCUAACCACGCGUGUCCCUAUCCAGAGCCCGUGACUUCAGACCACGUGUGUCCCUGACCAGAGCCUGUGACCUCAUACUGUUCAUGUCUCUGUCCAGAGCCCAUGAGCUCAGAACACGCAUGUCUCUGUCCAGAGCCCAUGACCUCAGACCACAUGUGUCCCUGACCAGAGCCCAUGACCUCAGACCAUGCAUGUCUCUGUCCAGAGCCUGUGACCUCAGAACACGUGUGUCCCUGACCAGAGCUGUGACCUCAUACUGUUCAUGUCUCUGUCCAGAGCCCAUGAGCUCAGAACACGCAUGUCUCUGUCCAGAGCCCAUGACCUCAGACC